Molecule: ribosomal RNA, 253 nt
Filed under: uncultured bacterium
Lineage: Bacteria
Description: partial 16S ribosomal RNA
Rfam family: Bacterial small subunit ribosomal RNA
Source: RNAcentral
UACGUAGGUGGCAAGCGUUGUCCGGAUUUAUUGGGUUUAAAGGGUGCGUAGGCGGUCUUGUAAGUCAGUGGUGAAAUCCGGCAGCUUAACUGUCGAUGUGCCAUUGAUACUGCAGGACUUGAGUACAGACGAGGUAGGCGGAAUUGACGGUGUAGCGGUGAAAUGCUUAGAUAUCGUCAAGAACACCGAUAGCGAAGGCAGCUUACUAGACUGUAACUGACGCUGAUGCACGAAAGUGUGGGGAUCAAACAGG